UGUCUACGCUACUGACGUUUACAAAUAUAUAUAUCCACCAUUAAUUCUAAAAGUAGAAUAUUUUAAGAUCCUUUUUGAAUAUUUAUAGAGUUUAUAAACAAGGAAACGUUUACCUUGGGAUGGCAAUUGAAAUUGUAUGACAGCUAUAUGAGAAAAAAUUUCACACCUUCCAAUUCAGGUUCUGGGAAAUUACUACUAUUGUCUUUUGUUAAUUUUGUUUUUCAUAAUGAGAUGUAUAUUAAUAUCAUAAAAUUUAAUUUCAAUUAAUAAUUUCAUAUUGUUGAAUUAAUAAUUACGAUCACAUAACCUUGCACUCAUCUAUGACAAAAAUCUUGUGUCCGUAUUCUCAGGUCCUCGUUUGGAGCGAUAUCGAUGUCAUUGAAUGCGAGGGGAUCGAUUGUCUCGAUUCUCACGCAAUAGGAACGCGUAGUGCUUCAUUCGCAUGUAAAUAGAUAAUUCUAACCUAUCAUUUUUAUUGAAAAAGUGUUUUUCUUCUGUAUAUUGAACUGCUGGAAGAACUAGAACAAGCUGAAGAGACUCUCUAAUGCAACUCAGUAAUGACCAAUUUAGAAAAGUAUGUCGGCCAACUAACCAAAACUUUCAGAUAUGUUUUGACACAAUAAGAAUAUAUCUGGACGAACCUGUGAAAACUACAGUUGUAAGAUUUGGGUCAACUUGAAGUAGCUUCUCCAGUUAGAAUAGACUUCUUUGCCUUUGAUUGACAGCACAAGUACAUGUACAGAACUAGAAACUAUUUUGCAUAUAUGUAUGGACAGUUUCUAUAAGUGGAAGGUGUUCCGACGAAGUGAAACAAAUAGUGUAUCGUUCUCUCUCUCCUCCGAGCGCCUCACUUAUUUCUGCGCAACUUUUGCGCGCAUGAAGCAUGCGCAGUAUAGACAAAGUGUCUAGAACGAGAGAGAGAAUUAAUACCGUCUACACCAUACGUAGAGACGUUCGUUGAUCGCUCGCUUGUGAGAGGAGUGAGUUGAGAAUUCCGGACCUGGUAUACAUGUCAAGUAUAUAAAUUAAUGUGAGAACAUUAACAGGUGGUUUUUGCGGUUGUCAUGUGAAGAUAGUAUAAUAAAAUAAA
This is a long non-coding RNA of Diorhabda carinulata, 1090 nucleotides long. RefSeq lists it as uncharacterized. The transcript has 2 exons. NCBI's taxonomy places the organism in Eukaryota, Metazoa, Arthropoda, Insecta, Coleoptera, Chrysomelidae. The record is from RefSeq and is a predicted model, not a curated record.